AAAGGAGAAACCAGUGAGGCUAGCAAAGGAACUCCUACAGGGUUUGUCCUGAAAUUCCUAUUCUUUCUAUCUUGGAUCUUUCUAUUGUUUGUACUUUAGUGUAUGAUCUUGGUAGACCGGAGAAUGUGUCUUGGCUGAAUUAUCUGAGUACUUUAGUGUAUGAUCUUGGUAGACCGGAGAAUGUGUCUUGGCUAAAUUAUCUGAGUACUUUAGUGUAUGAUCUUGGUAGACCGGAGAAUGUGUCUUGGCUGAAUUAUCUGAGUACUUUAGUGUAUGUGUCCUGGCAUGUGGCGAUCUUGCUUCAGACUUCUCUAGUGCCUGUGAUU
RNAcentral lists this long non-coding RNA (326 nucleotides) under Populus tremula. RNAcentral describes it as "long non-coding RNA (PTRE_LNC002005)". The record is from RNAcentral. Lineage: Eukaryota; Viridiplantae; Streptophyta; Magnoliopsida; Malpighiales; Salicaceae.